AAAUGCGAUAAGUAAUGUGAAUUGCAGAAUUCAGUGAAUCAUCGAAUCUUUGAACGCACAUUGCGCCCCUUGGUAUUCCGGGGGGCAUGCCUGUUCGAGCGUCAUUACAACCCUCAAGCUCUGCUUGGAAUUGGGCACCGUCCUCACUGCGGACGCGCCUCAAAGACCUCGGCGGUGGCUGUUCAGCCCUCAAGCGUAGUAGAAUACACCUCGCUUUGGAGCGGUUGGCGUCGCCCGCCGGACGAACCUUCUGAACUUUUCUCAAGGUUGACCUCGGAUCAGGUAGGGAUACCCGCUGAACUUAAGC
This 307-nucleotide unclassified non-coding RNA is filed under the name plant metagenome. RNAcentral describes it as "partial contains 5.8S ribosomal RNA, internal transcribed spacer 2, and large subunit ribosomal RNA". The stretch from base 1 to 104 matches the Rfam family "5.8S ribosomal RNA", at positions 51 to 154 of the family's 154-position model. The record is from RNAcentral.